UGUUCAGAUAUUGUAUUUACAUGUCAAUUCAGUAUCAGAAUCUCAGGACUUGGCAGUAGCCUACUCACUCUCAAAAAAAAUUAAUCUCACUAUUGCUCAUCUCACUGAAUCAUUUUUCGUAGGAUUUACAUAAUAAAAGUAGGUUUUUAGGUGAAAUGGAGUCAGUUGUGCGAAACGCAUUCGAUUAGGUGUUUGGAGGAAAUGUGUCCGUCAAUGGUCGCCGUAGGAGCAUUAUUUCAAAACACUCUCUGGCUGCGGCAGGUCUGCCUCUGUUCCUCACUCGUGGAUUGUCAGGUCAGUUCUACUCAUGGUUUCACUCCCUGCCGAAGAUAGGGAUGGUUAUGCCUUGAUGGGAUUGUUUCAUAAAAGAUGAAUGUUCAUGGAAGUGACCAGAUGUGGCAGUGCAGAGUGCAAGACAUCAGUGUCAUUGAGGUCUCUCUUACAGAAGCAUCAGAUAUGUGCAGAAUUUCACAGGCGUUGUCAAGUUCUGGCAUAAACUUGGACUUCAGUCGCACAUCAUCUGCUCCAGGCUGUCUGCUGAGUGCCAUAGGAAGGGAGGAAAAACAGGACAUAAGAUCAAGGAGAUCAUGGCUGCCAUUGAUUGGAAUCCUAUCAUUGGCUCGUUGAGAGUUUGCCACCUGAAAGCACUUGUUGUGUACUUGAAGACCCCGAUAAACUCAUAAAGGAAUACCUGAGCUGCCAGAUGGUGUCAUCACUGAAAGCAGUCAUAAACAACAUGGCAGAUUCAUCUAUUUCCUCCAGCCAAAGCGACUCACCACGCACUACCAGUGACACUGGCAGUGAAGACAUGGUAUUAUGACUGAAGGACCUUAAACCGAUCCCUCAUUAGCAUUGGUAUUAGAUUAACAAGAAAUGUUAUUUAUUUGAGCUUUUGUUUAUACUUCAUUUUACCUCAUGUGGCUGAAUUGUUAGCCAGCUGGAAACCAGUAUUUUCGAUAAUGUAUUUGUUUGCCCUUUUUUUCCCAUUUAAGGCACCUAAUUUUAAAGAAUAUUGUGAAUGCACUCAUUAAUAUAUAAUAAAUACUGGAUUAAGAUAUGAUCAUAAA
This is a long non-coding RNA of Sardina pilchardus (European sardine), 1067 nucleotides long. RefSeq lists it as uncharacterized. NCBI's taxonomy places the organism in Eukaryota, Metazoa, Chordata, Actinopteri, Clupeiformes, Clupeidae. The transcript is spliced from 6 exons. The record is from RefSeq and is a predicted model, not a curated record.